Molecule: transfer RNA, 74 nt
Filed under: Vicugna pacos (alpaca)
Lineage: Eukaryota; Metazoa; Chordata; Mammalia; Artiodactyla; Camelidae
Description: tRNA-Ala (AGC) (tRNA-Ala-AGC-519-1)
Rfam family: tRNA
About the family: Transfer RNA (tRNA) molecules are approximately 80 nucleotides in length. Their secondary structure includes four short double-helical elements and three loops (D, anti-codon, and T loops).
Source: RNAcentral
GGAGGGGUAUAGCUCAGUGGUAGAGUGCAUGCUUAGCAUGCACGAGGUCCUGGGUUCAAUCCCCAGUACCUCCA